This 253-nucleotide ribosomal RNA is filed under the name uncultured bacterium. RNAcentral describes it as "partial 16S ribosomal RNA". It matches the Rfam family "Bacterial small subunit ribosomal RNA", at positions 524 to 776 of the family's 1533-position model. The record is from RNAcentral.
GACGAACCUUGCUAACGUUAUUCGGAAUUACUGGGCUUAAAGGGUGCGUAGGCGGUGCGGAAAGUCGGGUGUGAAAUCCCCCAGCUCAACUGGGGAAUUGCGCCUGAAACUACCGUGCUCGAGGAAGACAGAGGUACGCGGAACUUAGGGUGGAGCGGUGAAAUGCGUUGAUAUCCUAAGGAACACCGGUGGCGAAGGCAGGUCUCUGGGCCGAUACUGACGCUGAGGAGCGAAAGCGUGGGGAGCGAACAGG